Molecule: long non-coding RNA, 543 nt
Organism: Monomorium pharaonis (pharaoh ant)
Lineage: Eukaryota; Metazoa; Arthropoda; Insecta; Hymenoptera; Formicidae
Exons: 2
Source: RefSeq, a predicted model, not a curated record
AUAAUAAACUUGUCACAUUGACAGCAAUUGUGCAUGCAUGUUGACAACUUGCCGUCAGUUUGUUGAAUUCUAAUGUAGAAUUUUAUAUGAUGUCAGAACAACAGACAGCGGAAGCACAAUAGAUUUGCGGAAACACCUUGUCUUUAGUUUGAUAAAAUUAAUAGGGAAUAAGUGACAGCAAAAUAACAACACGUUGCCUUUAUUUAGCUAUCUGGGUAUAGACUUUAAGUACUGGCAGUGAAUUUCAGAUUAGCUCAAGCUAUUAGGUUAGCUGACUAAACUUCUUUUGUGUCAGUCAGAACAGGCUGUAUACCUGAAAAGGGUUUCUACUUUUCUUUCAUACAUCGCAGUAGUUGAAGAUCAUCCCGAUAGAGCAAAUUUUCCAUUCUACGAAGCAUUUACGGAUAAAAUGCCAACAGUGGGUACAUUUGUACUCCGGUUGUGGAACAACAUCUUAUGUCUGGAUCGUCGCGAUUUGAACCUUUUAUUUUUAUUAAAAAUAUGCUUUUACUUUAAUUUUUUUAAAGCUGAAAUAAAAAAAAA